AGCUCCAAUAGCGUAUAUUAAAGUUGUUGCGGUUAAAAAGCUCGUAGUUGGAUUUCUGCUGAAGCAAACCGGUCCGCCCUCUGGGUGAGCAUCUGGUUUUGCUUUGGCAUAUGCUUAGACUUUGCAGCUGCACUUGACUGUGUGGUGUAAAGGCUGAGCCUUUUACUUUGAGGAAAUCAGAGUGUUUCAAGCAGGCCAUCGCCUUGAAUACACUAGCAUGGAAUAAUAUGAUAUGACUGUGGUUUUAUUUUGUUGGCUUUUAGAAUUAGAGUAAUGGUUAAUAGGGAUAGUUGGGGGCAUUCAUAUUUAACUGUCAGAGGUGAAAUUCUUGGAUUUGUUAAGGAUGAACGACUGCGAAAGCAUUUGCCAAGGAUGCUUUCAUUG
This 384-nucleotide ribosomal RNA is filed under the name Neoceratium sp. RNAcentral's name for it is "SSU rRNA". It matches the Rfam family "Eukaryotic small subunit ribosomal RNA", at positions 587 to 975 of the family's 1831-position model. The record is from RNAcentral. RNAcentral also lists the same sequence under 2 other names. Lineage: Eukaryota; Dinophyceae; Gonyaulacales; Ceratiaceae.